ACAGCAUACAAGAAUAGAUUUUACAACGUCAUGACGAGAGGGUUAAUCGAACUCACCCAAUCUUCGGUUGCUGACGCUGUAAAUGGAGUGCAGUUACUGAGAUGGCGUACUGGAGGACAGUUGAUAACCAACUCUGUUAUCAUUGGUGAUUCCGAUAAUUUAGGAAAUCCUGAUGAAGACGGGUCUAUUCGAUCUUUGCCAAUGCUAGCCGGU
Long non-coding RNA from Mizuhopecten yessoensis (Yesso scallop), 213 nucleotides. RefSeq lists it as uncharacterized. The transcript is spliced from 3 exons. Lineage: Eukaryota; Metazoa; Mollusca; Bivalvia; Pectinida; Pectinidae. The record is from RefSeq and is a predicted model, not a curated record.